Molecule: ribosomal RNA, 537 nt
Filed under: Saccharomyces cerevisiae (brewer's yeast)
Lineage: Eukaryota; Fungi; Ascomycota; Saccharomycetes; Saccharomycetales; Saccharomycetaceae
Description: eukaryotic LSU rRNA
Rfam family: Eukaryotic large subunit ribosomal RNA
Source: RNAcentral
UAACGGCGAGUGAAGCGGCAAAAGCUCAAAUUUGAAAUCUGGUACCUUCGGUGCCCGAGUUGUAAUUUGGAGAGGGCAACUUUGGGGCCCGUUCCUUGUCUAUGUUCCUUGGAACAGGACGUCAUAGAGGGUGAGAAUCCCGUGUGGCGAGGAGUGCGGUUCUUUGUAAAGUGCCUUCGAAGAGUCGAGUUGUUUGGGAAUGCAGCUCUAAGUGGGUGGUAAAUUCCAUCUAAAGCUAAAUAUUGGCGAGAGACCGAUAGCGAACAAGUACAGUGAUGGAAAGAUGAAAAGAACUUUGAAAAGAGAGUGAAAAAGUACGUGAAAUUGUUGAAAGGGAAGGGCAUUUGAUCAGACAUGGUGUUUUGUGCCCUCUGCUCCUUGUGGGUAGGGGAAUCUCGCAUUUCACUGGGCCAGCAUCAGUUUUGGUGGCAGGAUAAAUCCAUAGGAAUGUAGCUUGCCUCGGUAAGUAUUAUAGCCUGUGGGAAUACUGCCAGCUGGGACUGAGGACUGCGACGUAAGUCAAGGAUGCUGGCAUAA